CCAGACUCCUACGGGAGGCAGCAGUGGGGAAUAUUGCACAAUGGGGGGAACCCUGAUGCAGCGACGCCGCGUGAGCGAUGAAGUAUUUCGGUAUGUAAAGCUCUAUCAGCAGGGAAGAAAAUGACGGUACCUGACCAAGAAGCCCCGGCUAACUACGUGCCAGCAGCCGCGGUAAUACGUAGGGGGCAAGCGUUAUCCGGAUUUACUGGGUGUAAAGGGAGCGUAGACGGCAGUGCAAGUCCGGAGUGAAAGCCCGGGGCUCAACCCUGGGACUGCUCUGGAAACUGUAAAGCUGGAGUGCGGGAGGGGCAGGCGGAAUUCCUGGUGUAGCGGUGAAAUGCGUAGAUAUCAGGAGGAACACCGGCGGCGAAGGCGGCCUGCUGGACCGUGACUGACGUUGAGGCUCGAGAGCGUGGGGAGCAAACAGGAUUAGAUACCCUGGUAAA
Molecule: ribosomal RNA, 446 nt
Filed under: uncultured bacterium
Lineage: Bacteria
Description: bacterial SSU rRNA
Rfam family: Bacterial small subunit ribosomal RNA
Source: RNAcentral